RNAcentral lists this ribosomal RNA (798 nucleotides) under uncultured bacterium. Its description in RNAcentral is "bacterial SSU rRNA". It matches the Rfam family "Bacterial small subunit ribosomal RNA", at positions 8 to 796 of the family's 1533-position model. The record is from RNAcentral.
AGAGUUUGAUCAUGGCUCAGAUUGAACGCUGGCGGUAUGCUUAACACAUGCAAGUCGAACGGCAGCACGAGAGAGCUUGCUCUCUUGGUGGCGAGUGGCGGACGGGUGAGUAACGCGUAGGAAUCUGCCUAGUAGUGGGGGACAACUCGGAGAAAUUCGAGCUAAUACCGCAUACGCCCUACGGGGGAAAGCAGGGGAUCUUCGGACCUUGCGCUAUUAGAUGAGCCUGCGUUGGAUUAGCUUGUUGGUGAGGUAAUGGCUCACCAAGGCAACGAUCCAUAGCUGGUCUGAGAGGACGAUCAGCCACACUGGGACUGAGACACGGCCCAGACUCCUACGGGAGGCAGCAGUGGGGAAUAUUGGACAAUGGGCGCAAGCCUGAUCCAGCAAUACCGCGUGUGUGAAGAAGGCCUGCGGGUUGUAAAGCACUUUCAAUUGUGAAGAAAAGCUUGGGGUUAAUACCCUCGAGUCUUGACGUUAACUUUAGAAGAAGCACCGGCUAACCCUGUGCCAGCAGCCGCGGUAAUACAGGGGGUGCGAGCGUUAAUCGGAAUUACUGGGCGUAAAGCGCGCGUAGGCGGUCUGUUAAGUCAGAUGUGAAAGCCCUGGGCUCAACCUGGGAACUGCAUUUGAUACUGGCAGACUGGAGUAUGGUAGAGGAAAGUGGAAUUUCGGGUGUAGCGGUGAAAUGCGUAGAUAUCCGAAGGAACAUCAGUGGCGAAGGCGACUUUCUGGACCAAACUGACGCUGAGGUGCGAAAGCGUGGGGAGCAAACAGGAUUAGAUACCCUAGUAGUCC